AUUGAACGCUGGCGGCAGGCUUAACACAUGCAAGUCGAGCGGGGUGAUGGUGCUUGCACUAUCACUUAGCGGCGGACGGGUGAGUAAUGCUUAGGAAUCUGCCUAUUAGUGGGGGACAACAUCUCGAAAGGGAUGCUAAUACCGCAUACGUCCUACGGGAGAAAGCAGGGGAUCACUUGUGACCUUGCGCUAAUAGAUGAGCCUAAGUCGGAUUAGCUAGUUGGUGGGGUAAAGGCCUACCAAGGCGACGAUCUGUAGCGGGUCUGAGAGGAUGAUCAGCCACACUGGGACUGAGACACGGCCCAGACGCCUACGGGAGGCAGCAGUGGGGAAUAUUGGACAAUGGGGGGAACCCUGAUCCAGCCAUGCCGCGUGUGUGAAGAAGGCCUUAUGGUUGUAAAGCACUUUAAGCGAGGAGGAGGCUCUUUUGGUUAAUACCCAAGAUGAGUGGACGUUACUCGCAGAAUAAGCACCGGCUAACUCUGUGCCAGCAGCCGCCGUAA
This 503-nucleotide ribosomal RNA is filed under the name uncultured bacterium. Its description in RNAcentral is "partial 16S ribosomal RNA". It matches the Rfam family "Bacterial small subunit ribosomal RNA", at positions 30 to 523 of the family's 1533-position model. The record is from RNAcentral.